Molecule: non-coding RNA, 187 nt
Filed under: Callithrix jacchus (white-tufted-ear marmoset)
Lineage: Eukaryota; Metazoa; Chordata; Mammalia; Primates; Cebidae
Description: Connexin-43 internal ribosome entry site (IRES)
Rfam family: Connexin-43 internal ribosome entry site (IRES)
About the family: This family represents the connexin-43 internal ribosome entry site (IRES) which allows cap independent translation during conditions such as heat shock and stress.
Source: Rfam by way of RNAcentral
AACAACAACGUAGUCUUUCAUUAGGGGGAAGGCUGAGGAAAGUACCAAACAGCAGCAGAGUUUUAAACUUUAAAUAGACAGGUCUCAGUGCCUGAACUGGCCAUUUCCUUUUACUUCAUCCUCCAAGGAGUUCAAUCACUUGGCGUGACUUCACUUCUUUUAAGCAAAAGAGUGGUGCCCAGGCAAC